This 493-nucleotide ribosomal RNA is filed under the name uncultured bacterium. RNAcentral's name for it is "partial 16S ribosomal RNA". It matches the Rfam family "Bacterial small subunit ribosomal RNA", at positions 28 to 523 of the family's 1533-position model. The record is from RNAcentral.
GAUGAACGCUAGCGGCAGGCUUAACACAUGCAAGUCGAGGGGUAGAGGCUUUCGGGCCUUGAGACCGGCGCACGGGUGCGUAACGCGUAUGCAAUCUGCCUUAUACUGGGGGAUAGCCCAGAGAAAUUUGGAUUAAUACCCCAUAGUAUUUUCGGUUGGCAUCAACUGAUUAUUAAAGUUUUUCGGUACAAGAUGAGCAUGCGUCCCAUUAGCUAGUUGGUAUGGUAACGGCAUACCAAGGCUACGAUGGGUAGGGGUCCUGAGAGGGAGAUCCCCCACACUGGUACUGAGACACGGACCAGACUCCUACGGGAGGCAGCAGUGAGGAAUAUUGGUCAAUGGUCGCAAGACUGAACCAGCCAUGCCGCGUGCAUGAUGAAGCAUCUAUGGUGUGUAAACUGCUUUUGUACGGGAAGAAACACUGCUACGUGUAGCAGCUUGACGGUACCGUAAGAAUAGGGAUCGGCUAACUCCGUGCCAGCCGCCGCCGUAA